RNAcentral lists this long non-coding RNA (976 nucleotides) under Malus domestica (apple). RNAcentral's name for it is "long non-coding RNA (MDOM_LNC016172)". Lineage: Eukaryota; Viridiplantae; Streptophyta; Magnoliopsida; Rosales; Rosaceae. The record is from RNAcentral.
UUUAAGUCCUAGCUAUAUACAAUUUACAUGAGUUUUUUACAUGCACUAGAGAAUGAUGGUUGUUUAAUUGUACCUACAGUGUAGUAGUAAUUGUCAGUGAUGUGGUUAAAAUGCACUUGCACAGAGAUUCAAAAUUGAGUCAUGAUUCCUUGUACUUGUAUCAUCAGUAGAAAAGGAGGUGUUGCAAGACAAUCUAUCAGUGAUAUAUAACUCUUAUCAAAGCUCUACUCAAAAUUUACCACAUGUAUCAUCAAUGACUUUAUGCAUAUUUGAGACAAAGCUGAAUUUAAUCUGCAUGGGACUUAAAAAUUAUAAUUUUUCCCCAAAAUUAUUCAAAUUCACUUAAUAGGUAACUUUCAUGCUUCUUCACACUAAUUUCUAUUUGGCUAGUUUACUUUUGUACUCGAAUCUUUUCAUAUUUUUUUAGCUUUUUUGUUUGAAUGUCUGCUUCUCUCUUUGUAUCACAAUGAGAUUACCCUUGAAUGAAAACUUAUAGCCAAGCAUGACCAGAUUUUACUCGAUGAUAUGCUUCUUUAAUGAUAAUUGAAAACUAAAAAGAUAACAACUUCUGAUCAGCAAUUCAGUACUAUAUUUCCAAAAGUCAAUGCACUAUCCAAAUAGACGGAACUGGAUCCUCUCCUGAGCUUAGGAUAGGGAUCCUCCUGAGCAGUCUAUCCGGGCCAUUCAAACUUGAUCCAACGAUUGUAAUUAUUAUAAUUUUUAGAGGGUCUCCUACUUGGAGUCAUUAGAUCAAAUUUCAACGGUCCAGAUGAACUGCUCAAGAGAAUCUCUAUCCUAAACUCAGGAGAUAAUCCGGUUCCUAAAUAGAUGACAACUUAUAUUCAGCAAACAGUACUAUCCAAAUAGUCAAUGCACUCAAUUAUAGCACACAGCUGUGGAAAUUAGGCUGCCCACUAGGAGCUGUCUACUAAAAGAAGAUAAGGACAUAGUUGUCCACUAAAAAAGGAAUGGAAAU